AGGAGGUAUUGAAGAUGGCAGUAGGGUUGCACUUCAUCUGCAGCUCCAGGGUUUUUAUCCUCCUCUUGGACAUCACUGGAAUACAGAGAGCUUUGUAGCAUAGGGGAAGGCUCACAGGAGGCAAAUAUUCCUAAUGGGGGAAAGUAUUGCUGUUUUGGGAGAUGUACCUCAAGCAUGCUGUUUUCAGGGUACAAGAGGAGUGCACUUGCUGAUCAAGCUGUAACUUAUGGCAUUGUUUUGUAAAGCUAAAUAUUUAGUGUGGCAAUCCAGAAUGCAUCUCCUUGGCCUGCGAUCAGCCAAGAGGGCGUCAGUGGAGAAGCACUGCUCCUUGCCAGCAGCCAUCCUCCUUCUCUUCCCUCAGAAAUCCUGGGUCUGUAUCCUGGAAAUGCAGAAAUCCACCCCAAAUCUUCAAGCACUUGCCCGUGGGCUCAGCUCAAGCCCACAAAUCGUCCAUUAAUGCGGAGUGUACGCAGACAGCCCUGUUUGGCAGGUCAAGGUAGAACAAGGUAACAUUUUUUAGACCAGUAGUUCAUUUGUCACAAUUGUCUCAAAUGACUUGAAACAAUUUAUUGAUGUGCUCUAAAUCUCUGGGGAAAUGUCCUUUUCUGCUGUUCCCCGAAUCAAAACUUUUCUUGCAGUAGUUAUUCAUUAAAAUUUGGUUUUUAUUCAAGGAGACCCUUUUGAAAAUUAAAAUCAAUUGAAAUUGAUAUUCAUGUAAAGUUUUCUUUGUGCUUAUUGUUUUCUUGGUUUAUUUUUGUGAGCAAACAGCAUAGUUUAUAUUUAAUUUAAAAUAUUUUGUGCAAAUCAAACAUUUUUUAAUGUGCAUUUAAUGGAGGCAUUGAGAUACAGACAGAACCUUUCUGGUCUCGUGGCUUGGUGGUACAGCAAUGGCUUUUAUCAUCUGACCCUCACUCUCUGGAGGUGCAAUUCCAGGGAACAGGAUUUGGGAAUAUAUUCUUUUCUUUCCAUAUUUAUGCAAAUAUCUUCUUACAGGGAGGAGGAAACACUUGACAAAAAAAUAAAUGUAAGUCACACUUGAUAAAACACAUGCUUUUGUGCUUUAAUAAAAUACUAGAUAUAGUGGUGAUAAUAAAGAUAGCAUUUAAUUUGUUUCGUUGUGGGAAGGGGAGGGGAUGCAACUGGUG
Long non-coding RNA from Motacilla alba alba, 1145 nucleotides. RefSeq lists it as uncharacterized. The record is from RefSeq and is a predicted model, not a curated record. The transcript has 3 exons. Lineage: Eukaryota; Metazoa; Chordata; Aves; Passeriformes; Motacillidae.